Molecule: long non-coding RNA, 1032 nt
Filed under: Piliocolobus tephrosceles (Ugandan red Colobus)
Lineage: Eukaryota; Metazoa; Chordata; Mammalia; Primates; Cercopithecidae
Description: lncRNA (ENSPTEG00000002640.1)
Source: RNAcentral
AACAAAAUAUGACAAUGAUAAUACUACUAGUAGUAGCAAAAACAGAAGUUAUAAUAAUAAAAAAGAAACUAAAGAUGAUAAAAUAAAUACAUGUAAUAAUAAAAAUAAUAAUAAAAUAAAUCCUACUUUUUCUGACUCCAUUACAGGAAAUAAUGAAGGAAAAGAAAAACUUUUAUUUCAUUCUUAUCAAGCAAUGUUGGAAAAUGAACAUACUAAUACAGUAGAUGAAAAAAAUAGUAACAUCCGUGCAAAGUGUUUUAAAUCUGUUGAGAAUAAGAAUAGCAAUGGCACAGGUAGUGUAAGCGAAGAUGAACUAGCAGGCCAACAGGAAAGCCAACAGGAAAGCCAACUGGAAACUACUUUAGAAAUAGGUAUAGAAAAAAAUAAUUUGCAAAACAAUAAAGUAUUGAUUUCUGUAGACAAAAUGGACAAUUUACAUAAUAUGUCAGAGGCAGAAAAAGUAUCGAAUCAAUUAAAAAGCAGCAACAUACAAGAUGAUAAUACCCCUCAAGAUAUGUUCGAAGGUGUACCAGACGAAGUAAAAAAAAGAUAUAAAACAUGGACCGAAAAUAAAAAAAGUUUUUCUGGACAAAUGAUAAAUAUUUGUCGAAAUAAAAGACCUUUAAGUAAUGCAUAUGUUGGAGAAAACUCAUCAAAGAAUGAUAUUUCGUAUAGCAAUUUUUUAUCAUACCUAUGGAAAAAAAACAUGAGCACAAUAAAUGUUAACCUGAGCUUGGAAAUAACUGAUGUAAGUAUUAAAAAUGGGCUAUAUACAUUUCAUUACAUUUAACGUUUUUUAUUCAUAUGUUUAUUUAUUUAUUUAUUUAUUUAUUUUUGUGUACAUUCUUAUGAAUUUUAUAUUUACUUCUUUGUAAAUUCAUUAGCAUCCAUAUGUCAUUAUACGAACAAGUUUUUCUUUUUUCAUUCAUACCACUUUGCACAUAUACCAUUUGUCAUUUUUUUUUUUUAUCACCAUCUAAUGCUUUAACAGGAAUUAAUAAAUCAGUUUGAUUUGCACUUUUUGAAUUUUAU